This 1011-nucleotide ribosomal RNA is filed under the name Lactiplantibacillus plantarum. RNAcentral's name for it is "bacterial SSU rRNA". It matches the Rfam family "Bacterial small subunit ribosomal RNA", at positions 192 to 1195 of the family's 1533-position model. The record is from RNAcentral. Lineage: Bacteria; Bacillati; Bacillota; Bacilli; Lactobacillales; Lactobacillaceae.
GUCCGAGCUUGAAAGAUGGCUUCGGCUAUCACUUUUGGAUGGUCCCGCGGCGUAUUAGCUAGAUGGUGGGGUAACGGCUCACCAUGGCAAUGAUACGUAGCCGACCUGAGAGGGUAAUCGGCCACAUUGGGACUGAGACACGGCCCAAACUCCUACGGGAGGCAGCAGUAGGGAAUCUUCCACAAUGGACGAAAGUCUGAUGGAGCAACGCCGCGUGAGUGAAGAAGGGUUUCGGCUCGUAAAACUCUGUUGUUAAAGAAGAACAUAUCUGAGAGUAACUGUUCAGGUAUUGACGGUAUUUAACCAGAAAGCCACGGCUAACUACGUGCCAGCAGCCGCGGUAAUACGUAGGUGGCAAGCGUUGUCCGGAUUUAUUGGGCGUAAAGCGAGCGCAGGCGGUUUUUUAAGUCUGAUGUGAAAGCCUUCGGCUCAACCGAAGAAGUGCAUCGGAAACUGGGAGACUUGAGUGCAGAAGAGGACAGUGGAACUCCAUGUGUAGCGGUGAAAUGCGUAGAUAUAUGGAAGAACACCAGUGGCGAAGGCGGCUGUCUGGUCUGUAACUGACGCUGAGGCUCGAAAGUAUGGGUAGCAAACAGGAUUAGAUACCCUGGUAGUCCAUACCGUAAACGAUGAAUGCUAAGUGUUGGAGGGUUUCCGCCCUUCAGUGCUGCAGCUAACGCAUUAAGCAUUCCGCCUGGGGAGUACGGCCGCAAGGCUGAAACUCAAAGGAAUUGACGGGGGCCCGCACAAGCGGUGGAGCAUGUGGUUUAAUUCGAAGCUACGCGAAGAACCUUACCAGGUCUUGACAUACUAUGCAAAUCUAAGAGAUUAGACGUUCCCUUCGGGGACAUGGAUACAGGUGGUGCAUGGUUGUCGUCAGCUCGUGUCGUGAGAUGUUGGGUUAAGUCCCGCAACGAGCGCAACCCUUAUUAUCAGUUGCCAGCAUUAAGUUGGGCACUCUGGUGAGAUGCCGGUGACAACCGGAAGAAGGGGGGAUGACGUCAAUCACCA